RNAcentral lists this long non-coding RNA (254 nucleotides) under Elaeis guineensis (African oil palm). Its description in RNAcentral is "long non-coding RNA (EGUI_LNC053556)". The record is from RNAcentral. Lineage: Eukaryota; Viridiplantae; Streptophyta; Magnoliopsida; Arecales; Arecaceae.
ACAUCUGGAUAGGCUGAAUGUAUACAAAGCAAUUCUCAAGAACCUACUUGGAUAUAGUUUCCAAAUAAUUCAUCCCUUUGACCCUUGAUGCUAGGAUGACUUAGAGUUUAAACUGUCAACUCUUAACAGUACAUUCAUUAUGUGUCUCAACCAAAUAAAUCCUGUGACUCCUCAUAAGAACUAUCCUGUCCAAGGUCUUACUAAAUUAAAACAUAAAGCAUUCUCUCCAAUCCCUUAGAGUGAUCAAUUCCAUC